GGGGGGGGACUGCGGAAGGAUCAUUA
RNAcentral lists this ribosomal RNA (26 nucleotides) under Lodderomyces orthopsilosis. RNAcentral's name for it is "Candida orthopsilosis partial 18S ribosomal RNA". The record is from RNAcentral. Lineage: Eukaryota; Fungi; Ascomycota; Pichiomycetes; Serinales; Debaryomycetaceae.